Molecule: ribosomal RNA, 253 nt
Filed under: uncultured bacterium
Lineage: Bacteria
Description: partial 16S ribosomal RNA
Rfam family: Bacterial small subunit ribosomal RNA
Source: RNAcentral
UACGUAGGGGGCAAGCGUUGUCCGGAAUCAUUGGGCGUAAAGCGCGUGUAGGCGGUCCGGUAAGUCCGCUGUGAAAGUCGGGGGCUCAACCCUCGGAUGCCGGUGGAUACUGUCGGGCUUGAGUACGGAAGAGGCGAGUGGAAUUCCUGGUGUAGCGGUGAAAUGCGCAGAUAUCAGGAGGAACACCAAUAGCGAAGGCAGCUCGCUGGGACGGUACUGACGCUAAGGCGCGAAAGCGUGGGGAGCAAACAGG